GACGAACGCUGGCGGCGUGCUUAACACAUGCAAGUCGAACGGAAAGGCCCUGCUUUUGUGGGGUGCUCGAGUGGCGAACGGGUGAGUAACACGUGAGUAACCUGCCCUUGACUUUGGGAUAACUUCAGGAAACUGGGGCUAAUACCGGAUAGGAGCUCCUGCUGCAUGGUGGGGGUUGGAAAGUUUCGGCGGUUGGGGAUGGACUCGCGGCUUAUCAGCUUGUUGGUGGGGUAGUGGCUUACCAAGGCUUUGACGGGUAGCCGGCCUGAGAGGGUGACCGGCGACAUUGGGACUGAGAUAGGGCCCAGACUGCUAUGGGAGGCAGCAGUGGGGAAUAUUGCACAAUGGGCGGAAGCCUGAUGCAGCAACGUCGCGUGCGGGAUGACGGCCUUCGGGUUGUAAACCGCUUUCGCCUGUGACGAAGCGUGAGUGACGGUAAUGGGUAAAGAAGCACCGGCUAACUACGUG
RNAcentral lists this ribosomal RNA (468 nucleotides) under uncultured bacterium. Its description in RNAcentral is "partial 16S ribosomal RNA". It matches the Rfam family "Bacterial small subunit ribosomal RNA", at positions 28 to 507 of the family's 1533-position model. The record is from RNAcentral.